Non-coding RNA from Triticum urartu, 462 nucleotides. The record is from RefSeq and is a predicted model, not a curated record. NCBI's taxonomy places the organism in Eukaryota, Viridiplantae, Streptophyta, Magnoliopsida, Poales, Poaceae.
GGUGGUCAGUAACCCAGAGAAGACACCGCUGCACACCUUCUUUUGCAACUAUGAUUUGAGUGGCAUGCCUGCUGGAACCAAGUGAAAGAAGGAAGCGAUGCCAGUCACACAAAGGUCGAGUCAGUCCAAUAUGGAAGUGAACUUAGAGAAUGCGGCACUCUGUUUUCUGAAUGCUGUGAACAGGGGCAGAACUGCUACUUGACUGAUGAAUCAGAAAAGGGAGGUCACACUAACAGAUUGUAUUGCUCAAUGGAAUGUGACAUUAGCGAAUCAAAUGAAUCGAGUCCCAUUGGGAGCUCAGAAAGUCGCACUAAUGCUAAUGGUUGCUGCUGUCAAAUAGACAGUGAAAAGAAGUCCUGCUGCAGACCUUCCAAAGUGAAUGAUAGUUCAGCUGGAGGGGUUCUUCGUUAUGCUUUGUACCUGCGUUUUCUGAGCCCCUUUUCCAAUAAAUCAUCAAGAUCG